RNAcentral lists this ribosomal RNA (249 nucleotides) under uncultured bacterium. RNAcentral describes it as "partial 16S ribosomal RNA". It matches the Rfam family "Bacterial small subunit ribosomal RNA", at positions 796 to 1041 of the family's 1533-position model. The record is from RNAcentral.
CACGCUGUAAACGAUGGGUACUAGGCUUGGUGGGACUUGACCCCUGCCGAGUCGGCGCUAACGCAAUAAGUACCCCGCCUGGGAAGUACGGUCGCAAGACUAAAACUCAAAGGAAUUGACGGGGGCCCGCACAAGCGGUGGAUCAUGUGGUUUAAUUCGAAGCAACGCGCAGAACCUUACCUGGGUUUGACAUCCUCUGACAUCCGUAGAAAUACGGCUUCUGUAGCAAUACAGCAGAGUGACAGGUGC